GUGCAUGCUGGGCUAUAAUUUAUGAAACGGAGCCCAGGAAACAACCAAUCGCUUAGCUCCUCCUAACAAGUCCAACUGGCUAUGAAAAGCUGGAAGUGCUGCACAGAGCAAUGAAGGGGAGCUAUCCCACAUAUUAAUCUGCUUAGCUAGGAUUGCCUUCUGUGUAGACAGAGGGAAGCAUGUAGCAAGGAGAGAAAAAAACAAAGAAAGGAAAAUCACUGCUUUGCUGUUGAAACAACGGAAUAAAUUUCAACCAACAGGCAAAUCUUCUGUUCUAGUCAGAUGGC
Molecule: non-coding RNA, 287 nt
Organism: Cariama cristata (Red-legged seriema)
Lineage: Eukaryota; Metazoa; Chordata; Aves; Cariamiformes; Cariamidae
Source: Rfam